AUGCUCGAUGACAACAACAUCCUCGCAAAAACAUUCAGAAUGGCAAGAGAUAGAUUCCAAGAAGGAGACUACCAUGAUUACACACUUCGGAUACUAGGCAAAAGGAAGGGAACACACAACCUUCCAUCCGCAUCUGAAGUUGCAGCAUUGGUAGUAAGAGAUCCAACCGGAGAGAGUGAAGGACGUGACAUUGUUGUUGAGUACAAAAAUAUGGAGCCUCAAAGGAUAUCAGAGAUCCACCCAAAAUUCAUGUCCAUGCAAUAUCCGUUGUUGUUCCCAUAUGGAGAAGAUGGUUUUAAACUUGAGAUACCCUACAAGAAAACAAAAGGAGAUACAAACAGCAGGAAAUAUGUAACGCUGUUGGACUACUAUGCAUUCUACCUACAGCAACGUCCUGAUCAAGGAAUGUUACUACUCAAGUCCGGGCAUUUUUCACUGCAAUUUUGGGUGGAUGUAUACACAUGUAUCGAGCAAAAUAGACUAAACUGGAUCCGACACAAUCAAGGAAAGCUACGAACUGAACUUUACAGUGGAUUGCAGGAUGCGAUUGAGCGAGGGGACACAAGAACAGAGCAAGUUGGAAAGAGGAUAAUUGUGCCUUCAUCUUUUAUAGGUGGUAGAAGAAACAAGGCACAAUAUUUGCAAGAUGCCUUUGCAAUAUGCCGUUGGGCUGGAUACCCAGACCUAUUUAUAACAUUCACAUGCAAUGCAAAGUGGCCUGAGAUCCAAUACAUGCUAGAUGAAGCGGGAGGUGGCCAAAAGCCAGCCGAUUGGCCAGACAUUGUGGACAAAGUAUUUAUGAUCAAACUAAAGGAGCUAAUGAGAGACAUAAAAGAAAAGAAAUACUUUGGAGAAAUAGUUGCAAGUAAGUCCCAUUGA
This 879-nucleotide ribosomal RNA is filed under the name Triticum aestivum (bread wheat). RNAcentral describes it as "partial small subunit ribosomal RNA". The record is from RNAcentral. Lineage: Eukaryota; Viridiplantae; Streptophyta; Magnoliopsida; Poales; Poaceae.